RNAcentral lists this ribosomal RNA (271 nucleotides) under uncultured Bacillota bacterium. RNAcentral describes it as "uncultured Firmicutes bacterium partial 16S ribosomal RNA". It matches the Rfam family "Bacterial small subunit ribosomal RNA", at positions 76 to 339 of the family's 1533-position model. The record is from RNAcentral. Lineage: Bacteria; Bacillati; Bacillota.
UGAACAAUCUUUUCGUAUCUUAGUGGCGGACGGGUGAGUAACGCGUGGGUAACCUGCCUUAUACCGGGGGAUAACAGUUGGAAACGACUGCUAAUACCGGAUAGGUAGCAGACAAGCAUUUGACUGCUAUUAAAGUGGCUUUGGCCAUGAACAUGGAUGGACCUGCGGUGCAUUAGCUGGUUGGUGAGGUAACGGCCCACCAAGGCGACGAUGCAUAGCCGGCCUGAGAGGGCGGACGGCCACAUUGGGACUGAGACACGGCCCAGACUCC